UACAGAGGGUGCUAGCGUUAAUCGGAUUUACUGGGCGUAAAGCGUGUGUAGGCGGUUCGUUAAGUCGGAUGUGAAAGCCCUGGGCUCAACCUAGGAAUUGCAUUCGAUACUGGCGGGCUAGAGUACGGUAGAGGGCGGCGGAAUUCCGGGUGUAGCGGUGAAAUGCGUAGAUAUCCGGAGGAACACCGAUGGCGAAGGCAACCGCCUGGGCCUGUACUGACGCUGAGACACGAAAGCGUGGGGAG
Molecule: ribosomal RNA, 245 nt
Filed under: uncultured Hydrocarboniphaga sp.
Lineage: Bacteria; Pseudomonadati; Pseudomonadota; Gammaproteobacteria; Nevskiales; Nevskiaceae
Description: partial 16S ribosomal RNA
Rfam family: Bacterial small subunit ribosomal RNA
Source: RNAcentral